Molecule: long non-coding RNA, 851 nt
Organism: Triplophysa dalaica
Lineage: Eukaryota; Metazoa; Chordata; Actinopteri; Cypriniformes; Nemacheilidae
Exons: 3
Source: RefSeq, a predicted model, not a curated record
CGCACCUUGAAUGUAAUGUACGUUUUAAUCAUCCUGUCAAAAUGAACCGAAGGUAUGGCGAGAAUGCACCUUAUAUGUUGGUUUGACAACCUUAAAGCCUAGAAGAAGAAGAAAACUUACGAUAAGCUGCUGAACGCUGUAAAAUCAGUGUCAGGAACACAUGGCCAGCCACACCUCAUUAAAGACCAUGGGCAGCAUAAGUGACUGUGCUUGGGAGCCGUGCCAAAUCACAGUAGAUGAAUUCCACCAACCAAUCAGAGAGUGGACACCAGACUUCCAAUAGUGAUGUCCCGCGCUGUCUGCUGCCUACAUGGUAAGCCUUAGGAAGACAAAUUGAUCUCAGUGUAUACCUCUUGAAAGUCAAGUUGGAGAUUUGCUCAAGUUGAAGGCCCCUUGUCAGAGCUCAAAAGCAGUGCACGAUGCCGUUCCCCAUUUUGAUUGUCCGAGCCAAUCUCAGAGGAAGCAUAUUGGUUCGAGCCAUUUCCUGAGCAAGAUUACCUUCCUCUGGACCCUUGAGGUGAAGUUAUGAGUCUCUAAACUGGAACCUUGCUAAUGGUUAAUUAAAACCACAGAAUGUAGCAGUGAAUGUAAGGUGCAACAUAUUUUUUUAUCCUGGACAGCAAAUGUGUCUUUGUACAUUCAUAUUUAAAUUAAAGUAUCUUUUAAAUAUUAUUAACUGUUUUAGUGCAUGUUUAUAUGCUGUAUUUGCAUUGUACUAUUGUUAGACAAGUAUGUUAAAGAGAACAUAAUUUCAUUAUGGCAGGAUAAAUAUCUUUCGACUAGUAGGCAUUCUGAACCCAAAUGUGGCUAGUAAUAUUGUUUGGCAUGCUGGGAGAUAACUGGAAUGUGGG